Molecule: ribosomal RNA, 253 nt
Filed under: uncultured bacterium
Lineage: Bacteria
Description: partial 16S ribosomal RNA
Rfam family: Bacterial small subunit ribosomal RNA
Source: RNAcentral
UACAGAGGUCUCAAGCGUUGUUCGGAUUCAUUGGGCGUAAAGGGUGCGUAGGUGGCGGGGUAAGUCAGGUGUGAAAUCUCGGGGCUCAACCCCGAAACUGCACUUGAUACUGCCUUGCUCGAGUACUGGAGAGGAGAUUGGAAUUUACGGUGUAGCAGUGAAAUGCGUAGAUAUCGUAAGGAAGACCAGUGGCGAAGGCGAAUCUCUGGACAGUUACUGACGCUGAGGCACGAAGGCCAGGGGAGCAAACGGG